CCUACGGGAGGCAGCAGUGGGGAAUAUUGCACAAUGGGGGAAACCCUGAUGCAGCAACGCCGCGUGAGCGAGGAAGGCCUUCGGGUCGUAAAGUUCUGUCCUAAGGGAAGAAUACUGACGGUACCUUAGGAGGAAGCCCCGGCGAACUACGUUCCAGCAGCCGCGGUAAUACGUAGGGGGCUAGCGUUAUCUGGAAUUACUGGGCGUAAAGGGUGCGUAGGCGGCCCUUCAAGUCAGGGGUGACAGGCAACGGCUCAACCGUAGUAAGCCUUUGAAAUUGUAGGGCUUGAGAGCAGGAGAGGAGAGUGGAAUUCCCAGUGUAGCGGUGAAAUGCGUAGAUAUUGGGAGGAACACCAGUUGCGAAGGCGGCUCUCUGGACUGUAACUGACGCUGGGGCACGAAAGCGUGGGGAGCGAACAGGAUUAGAUACCCCUGUAGUC
Molecule: ribosomal RNA, 440 nt
Filed under: uncultured bacterium
Lineage: Bacteria
Description: bacterial SSU rRNA
Rfam family: Bacterial small subunit ribosomal RNA
Source: RNAcentral